GCAGGGCUGGCUCCCAGCUCUAUGAAGGCACACACACACACACAGUGACUGGCAGGGCUGGCUCCCAGCUCUAUGAAGGCACACACACACAGUGACUGGCAGGGCUGGCUCCCAGCUCUAUGAAGGCACACACACACAGUGACUGGCAGGGCUGGCUCCCAGCUCUAUGAAGGCACACACACACAGUGACUGGCAGGGCUGGCUCCCAGCUCUAUGAAGGCACACACACACACAGUGACUGGCAGGGCUGGC
This is a non-coding RNA of Pelobates cultripes (western spadefoot toad), 252 nucleotides long. Lineage: Eukaryota; Metazoa; Chordata; Amphibia; Anura; Pelobatidae. The record is from the annotation of a GenBank genome assembly.